Molecule: non-coding RNA, 553 nt
Organism: Misgurnus anguillicaudatus (oriental weatherfish)
Lineage: Eukaryota; Metazoa; Chordata; Actinopteri; Cypriniformes; Cobitidae
Source: RefSeq, a predicted model, not a curated record
CUGUGACUCUCAGUGUUAGGCUGACAUGCCUCUGCAGUCAAAACCAGGUGUGUUUGUGAAAACAAGGCACUUGUUGGCUUGAGAGCUGUAUCAACAGCAGCGUCCCUUCCUCCAGACCAGAACAUAAAAGACCCUUUACAUCUUUUGGAUCUCACGAAAACCAAAAUACAAAACAAACAUCUCUACUGCUGCCAUCACAAUCCACUAAAUCAGCAAUGUCCACUGAUGGUGUUAAAAGAAAACGCAAUGAGUCUCCAGAUAUUGAAGAACAGUCUUUGCCAACCACAGGCAAGUUAAAUCUGAAUCUGGCACUUACUGUAUUAAAACACAAAUAAAAAAUAUAGCUGCAAGCAGUGACUACAGGGUCAAGCCCAACAAGGGCAAAAAUGGACAAAAAGGUGAGUUUGGGAAUAUAGUUUAAAGCUAAGGGAAAACCUCCUGAUUUUAAGGUGAAAUUGUCCAAAGUUCCCUUUCGAGGGAAUCUCAGCAAUGUGUCAUGCUAGUCAGGCCCGGAUUAAGGAUUCAGAGGCCCUGGGCACAAUGUCUUGUAGGC